RNAcentral lists this ribosomal RNA (1343 nucleotides) under uncultured bacterium. RNAcentral describes it as "16S ribosomal RNA". It matches the Rfam family "Bacterial small subunit ribosomal RNA", at positions 28 to 1378 of the family's 1533-position model. The record is from RNAcentral.
GACGAACGCUGGCGGCGUGCUUAACACAUGCAAGUCGAACGGAAAGGCCCUGCUUUUGUGGGGUGCUCGAGUGGCGAACGGGUGAGUAACACGUGAGUAACCUGCCCUUGACUUUGGGAUAACUUCAGGAAACUGGGGCUAAUACCGGAUAGGAGCUCCUGCUGCAUGGUGGGGGUUGGAAAGUUUCGGCGGUUGGGGAUGGACUCGCGGCUUAUCAGCUUGUUGGUGGGGUAGUGGCUUACCAAGGCUUUGACGGGUAGCCGGCCUGAGAGGGUGACCGGCCACAUUGGGACUGAGAUACGGCCCAGACUCCUACGGGAGGCAGCAGUGGGGAAUAUUGCACAAUGGGCGGAAGCCUGAUGCAGCAACGCCGCGUGCGGGAUGACGGCCUUCGGGUUGUAAACCGCUUUCGCCUGUGACGAAGCGUGAGUGACGGUAAUGGGUAAAGAAGCACCGGCUAACUACGUGCCAGCAGCCGCGGUGAUACGUAGGGUGCGAGCGUUGUCCGGAUUUAUUGGGCGUAAAGGGCUCGUAGGUGGUUGAUCGCGUCGGAAGUGUAAUCUUGGGGCUUAACCCUGAGCGUGCUUUCGAUACGGGUUGACUUGAGGAAGGUAGGGGAGAAUGGAAUUCCUGGUGGAGCGGUGGAAUGCGCAGAUAUCAGGAGGAACACCAGUGGCGAAGGCGGUUCUCUGGGCCUUUCCUGACGCUGAGGAGCGAAAGCGUGGGGAGCGAACAGGCUUAGAUACCCUGGUAGUCCACGCUGUAAACGGUGGGUACUAGGUGUGGGGUCCACUCCACGGGUUCCGUGCCGUAGCUAACGCUUUAAGUACCCCGCCUGGGGAGUACGGCCGCAAGGCUAAAACUCAAAGGAAUUGACGGGGCCCCGCACAAGCGGCGGAGCAUGCGGAUUAAUUCGAUGCAACGCGUAGAACCUUACCUGGGUUUGACAUGGAUCGGGAGUGCUCAGAGAUGGGUGUGCCUCUUUUGGGGUCGGUUCACAGGUGGUGCAUGGCUGUCGUCAGCUCGUGUCGUGAGAUGUUGGGUUAAGUCCCGCAACGAGCGCAACCCUUGUUCACUGUUGCCAGCACGUUAUGGUGGGGACUCAGUGGAGACCGCCGGGGUCAACUCGGAGGAAGGUGGGGAUGACGUCAAGUCAUCAUGCCCCUUAUGUCCAGGGCUUCACGCAUGCUACAAUAGCUGGUACAGAGAGUGGCGAGCCUGUGAGGGUGAGCGAAUCUCGGAAAGCCGGUCUCAGUUCGGAUUGGGGUCUGCAACUCGACCUCAUGAAGUCGGAGUCGCUAGUAAUCGCAGAUCAGCAACGCUGCGGUGAAUACGUUCCCGGG